UACGUAGGGGCGAGCGUUGUCCGAAUUCACUGGGCGUAAAGCGCGCGUAGGCGGGUUUUUAAGUUGUGGGUGAAAUUCCGAGGCUCAACCUCGUAACUGCCUGCAAAACUGGGAGCCUUGAGGUAUGGAGAGGGAAGUGGAAUUCCUGGUGUAGCGGUGAAAUGCGUAGAUAUCAGGAGGAACACCCGUGGCGAAGGCGGCUUCCUGGCCAGUUACUGACGCUCAUGCGCGAGAGCUGGUUAGCGAACCGGAUUAGAUACCCUGGUAGUCCCUGA
Molecule: ribosomal RNA, 275 nt
Filed under: uncultured prokaryote
Description: partial 16S ribosomal RNA
Rfam family: Bacterial small subunit ribosomal RNA
Source: RNAcentral